UACAAUUUGAUGUAAAAUGCAUAAAGAAUUUUGAAUUCUUAGGAGUUGGUUUAAUUCCAAUAUUUGUAA
Molecule: transfer RNA, 69 nt
Filed under: Augilina triaina
Lineage: Eukaryota; Metazoa; Arthropoda; Insecta; Hemiptera; Caliscelidae
Description: tRNA-Gln
Rfam family: tRNA
About the family: Transfer RNA (tRNA) molecules are approximately 80 nucleotides in length. Their secondary structure includes four short double-helical elements and three loops (D, anti-codon, and T loops).
Source: RNAcentral